This 279-nucleotide ribosomal RNA is filed under the name uncultured bacterium. RNAcentral's name for it is "partial 16S ribosomal RNA". It matches the Rfam family "Bacterial small subunit ribosomal RNA", at positions 1213 to 1500 of the family's 1533-position model. The record is from RNAcentral.
CGUACACACGUGUUACAAUGGGGGGUACAGAGGGCCGCUACCACGCGAGUGGAUGCCAAUCCCUAAAACCCCUCUCAGUUCGGACUGGAGUCUGCAACCCGACUCCACGAAGCUGGAUUCGCUAGUAAUCGCGCAUCAGCCACGGCGCGGUGAAUACGUUCCCGGGCCUUGUACACACCGCCCGUCAAGCCAUGGGAGCCGGGGGUACCUGAAGUGCGUAACCGCGAGGAUCGCCCUAGGGUAAAACUGGUGACUGGGGCUAAGUCGUAACAAGGUACC